RNAcentral lists this ribosomal RNA (440 nucleotides) under uncultured bacterium. RNAcentral describes it as "partial 16S ribosomal RNA". It matches the Rfam family "Bacterial small subunit ribosomal RNA", at positions 338 to 795 of the family's 1533-position model. The record is from RNAcentral.
CCUACGGGUGGCAGCAGUGGGGAAUAUUGCACAAUGGGGGGAACCCUGAUGCAGCGACGCCGCGUGGGUGAGGAAGUACUUCGGUAUGUAAAGCCCUAUCAGCAGGGAAGAAAAUGACGGUACCUGACUAAGAAUCCCCGGCUAACUACGAGCCAGCAGCCGCGGCAAUACGUAGGGGGCAGGCGUUAUCCGGAUUUACUGGGUGUAAUGGGAGUGUAGACGGUGUGCCAAGUCUGAUGUGAAAGGCCGGGGCUCAACCCCGGGACUGCAGUGGAAACUGGCAUGCUGGAGUGCCGGAGGGGCAAGCGGAAUUCGUAGUGUAGCGGUGAAAUGCGUAGAUAUUAGGAGGAACACCGGUGGCGAAGGCAGCCUGCUGGACUGUGACUGACGUUGAGGCCCGAAGGCGUGGGGAGCAAACAGGAUUAGAUACCCGAGUAGUC